AAAGUUUGACAGACAAUCGCUGGCUGUGGGUAAGCCACAGCGAGAGGAAAGUCCGGGCUCCAUAAGGCAGGGUGCUGGAUAACGUCCAGUCAACGCGAGUUGAAGGAUAGGGCCACAGAAAUGGACCGCCGAUGGCGCUUCUGUAAGGAAGCGCACAGGCAAGGGUGGAACCGUGGUGUAAGAGACCACGAGGUUCUAUGGUGACAUAGAUCCUGGUAAACCCCACUUGGAGCAAGACCUAGAGGAACGCUAGCCGCUUUCGAGGCGGCAGUCUUAGCCUGAGACGCGUUCGGGUUGGUCGCUUGAGCUGUGCAGCAAUGUAUGGCCUAGAUAGAUGAUUGUCACUUCAAUGGUGGCAGGGGACAGACGCCCGUUAUGACCACUGGAAGUACAGAACCCGGCUUACGGCAAACUUUCCAU
RNAcentral lists this RNase P RNA (420 nucleotides) under Paenibacillus sp. yr247. RNAcentral's name for it is "Bacterial RNase P class A". It matches the Rfam family "Bacterial RNase P class A". Rfam says of the family: Ribonuclease P (RNase P) is a ubiquitous endoribonuclease, found in archaea, bacteria and eukarya as well as chloroplasts and mitochondria. The record is from Rfam by way of RNAcentral. Lineage: Bacteria; Bacillati; Bacillota; Bacilli; Caryophanales; Paenibacillaceae.